GUGAAGGUGGCUCAGUGGUAGAGUGCGUGCCUAGCAUGCACGGGGCCUGGGGUUAGAUUCCUCGGUGCCACA
This 72-nucleotide transfer RNA is filed under the name Dipodomys ordii (Ord's kangaroo rat). It matches the Rfam family "tRNA". Rfam says of the family: Transfer RNA (tRNA) molecules are approximately 80 nucleotides in length. Their secondary structure includes four short double-helical elements and three loops (D, anti-codon, and T loops). Lineage: Eukaryota; Metazoa; Chordata; Mammalia; Rodentia; Heteromyidae. The record is from Rfam by way of RNAcentral.